RNAcentral lists this ribosomal RNA (499 nucleotides) under uncultured bacterium. RNAcentral's name for it is "partial 16S ribosomal RNA". It matches the Rfam family "Bacterial small subunit ribosomal RNA", at positions 28 to 507 of the family's 1533-position model. The record is from RNAcentral.
GACGAACGCUGGCGGCGUGCCUAAUACAUGCAAGUCGAGCGGACCAAACAGGAGCUUGCUCUUGUUUGGUUAGCGGCGGACGGGUGAGUAACACGUGGGUAACCUGCCCGUAAGACCGGGAUAACUCCGGGAAACCGGAGCUAAUACCGGAUAACACCGAAGACCGCAUGGUCUUUGGUUGAAAGGCGGCUUCGGCUGCCACUUAUGGAUGGGCCCGCGGCGCAUUAGCUAGUUGGUGAGGUAACGGCUCACCAAGGCGACGAUGCGUAGCCGGCCUGAGAGGGUGACCGGCCACACUGGGACUGAGACACGGCCCAGACUCCUACGGGAGGCAGCAGUAGGGAAUCUUCCGCAAUGGACGAAAGUCUGACGGAGCGACGCCGCGUGAGCGAAGAAGGUCUUCGGAUCGUAAAGCUCUGUUGUUAGGGAAGAAGAAGCGCCGUUCGAACAGGGCGGCGCGGUGACGGUACCUAACGAGAAAGCCCCGGCUAACUACGUG